Molecule: ribosomal RNA, 253 nt
Filed under: uncultured bacterium
Lineage: Bacteria
Description: partial 16S ribosomal RNA
Rfam family: Bacterial small subunit ribosomal RNA
Source: RNAcentral
UACGAAGGGGGCUAGCGUUGCUCGGAAUCACUGGGCGUAAAGCGCACGUAGGCGGCUUUUUAAGUCAGGGGUGAAAUCCUGGAGCUCAACUCCAGAACUGCCUUUGAUACUGGGAAGCUCGAGUCCGGAAGAGGUGAGUGGAACUGCGAGUGUAGAGGUGAAAUUCGUAGAUAUUCGCAAGAACACCAGUGGCGAAGGCGGCCCACUGGUCCGGUACUGACGCUGAGGUGCGAAAGCGUGGGGAGCAAACAGG